RNAcentral lists this ribosomal RNA (467 nucleotides) under uncultured bacterium. Its description in RNAcentral is "partial 16S ribosomal RNA". It matches the Rfam family "Bacterial small subunit ribosomal RNA", at positions 28 to 506 of the family's 1533-position model. The record is from RNAcentral.
GACGAACGCUGGCGGCGUGCUUAACACAUGCAAGUCGAACGGAAAGGCCCUGCUUUUGUGGGGUGCUCGAGUGGCGAACGGGUGAGUAACACGUGAGUAACCUGCCCUUGACUUUGGGCUAUCUUUAGGAAACUGGGGCUAAUACCGGAUAGGGGCUCCUGCUGCCGGGGGGGGGUUGGAAUGUUUCGGCGGGUGGGGAUGGACUCGCGGCUUCUCAGCUUGUUGGUGGGGGAGGGUCUUACCAAGGGUUUAACGGGACGCCGGCCUGAGAGGGUGACCGGCCACAUUGGGACAGAGAGACGCCCCAGACGCCCACGGGAGGCAGCAGUGGGGAAUAUUGCACACAGGGCGGAAGCCUGAGGCAGCAACACCGCGGGGGGAAUGACGGCCUUCGGGUGGUAAACCGUUUUCGCCUGUGACGAAGCGUGAGUGACGGUACUGGGUAAAGAAGCACCGGCUAAUUACGU